AACGAACGCUGGCGGCGUGCCUAGCACAUGCAAGUCGAGCGAGAAAGUCCGCAAGGAUGAGUAAAGCGGCGCACGGGUGCGUAACACGUGAGUAAUCUUCCUUCGAGUUCGGAAUAACUCCCGAAGGGGUGGCUAAUACCGGGUAAGACCACGGGAGCUACGGCUUCUGAGGGAAAAGGUGGCCUCUGUAUACAAGCUAUCGCUUGAAGAUGAGCUCGCGGCCCAUCAGCUAGUUGGCGGGGUAACGGCCCACCAAGGCUACGACGGGUAGCUGGUCUGAGAGGACGAUCAGCCACACUGGAACUGAGACACGGUCCAGACUCCUACGGGAGGCAGCAGUGGGGAAUCUUGCGCAAUGGGCGAAAGCCUGACGCAGCAACGCCGCGUGUGUGAUGUAA
This 398-nucleotide ribosomal RNA is filed under the name uncultured bacterium. RNAcentral describes it as "bacterial SSU rRNA". It matches the Rfam family "Bacterial small subunit ribosomal RNA", at positions 29 to 413 of the family's 1533-position model. The record is from RNAcentral.